GACGAACGCUGGCGGCGUGCUUAAUACAUGCAAGUCGAGCGAGGUUACUGUUUUGGAUCCCUUCGGGGUGAAGAAGCUUUAACCUAGCGGCGGACGGGUGAGUAACGCGUGGGUAACCUACCCCAAAGUCCGGGAUAACAGCGGGAAACCGCUGCUAAUAACCGGAUGCCUUUACCUUGGGGCAUCUUGAGGUAAAGAAAGGUAACGCUUUGGGAUGGGCCCGCGUCCCAUUAGCUAGUUGGUGAGGUAACGGCUCACCAAGGCGACGAUGGGUAGCCGGCCUGAGAGGGUGGACGGCCACACUGGGACUGAGACACGGGCCCAGACUCCUACGGGAGGCAGCAGUAGGGAAUAUUGCGCAAUGGACGGAAGUCUGACGCAGCGACGCCGCGUGAGCGAUGAAGGUCUUCGGAUCGUAAAGCUCUGUCCUUGGGGAAGAAGGCGAAAGCUUGACGGUACCCAAGAAGAAAGCCCCGGCUAACUACGUGCCAGCAGCCGCGGUAAAUCACGUGUA
This 514-nucleotide ribosomal RNA is filed under the name uncultured bacterium. Its description in RNAcentral is "bacterial SSU rRNA". It matches the Rfam family "Bacterial small subunit ribosomal RNA", at positions 28 to 531 of the family's 1533-position model. The record is from RNAcentral.